AUCUUUUUAGUAUAAUUAAUAUAAGCGACUUCCAAUCACUUGAUCUUAGUUUAAACCUAAGAAAAGAUA
Molecule: transfer RNA, 69 nt
Filed under: Pleurodeles waltl (Iberian ribbed newt)
Lineage: Eukaryota; Metazoa; Chordata; Amphibia; Caudata; Salamandridae
Description: tRNA-Gly
Rfam family: tRNA
About the family: Transfer RNA (tRNA) molecules are approximately 80 nucleotides in length. Their secondary structure includes four short double-helical elements and three loops (D, anti-codon, and T loops).
Source: RNAcentral